Long non-coding RNA from Vitis vinifera (wine grape), 525 nucleotides. RefSeq lists it as uncharacterized. The transcript is spliced from 4 exons. The record is from RefSeq and is a predicted model, not a curated record. NCBI's taxonomy places the organism in Eukaryota, Viridiplantae, Streptophyta, Magnoliopsida, Vitales, Vitaceae.
GCACACAGUGCACUUUUGGUGGAAGAGAAAGCAAUUGUUUUAUUUGUAUGGGGUGUUGCUUAUAUAUGUGGCUCAUUGGGACUUGAGAAUGUGUUUUGCUUUGUAUUGGUCUUCUUAUCUAUUAAUUCUGGAAAACGUGUGCAGCUGCAAGAAGUAAGAAGUGGAAGAAUGACUCUGUUGCUAAGAAAGGAGCCAUACCAGUGGAGAAGCUCAUGAACAUCCAAAUUUCGCCAAUACUGAAGAAGCAACUAGUUGAUGAUUGUGAAUUCAUUACUCAUCUGGGCAAGGUAAAAGAUAUCAAGUUCAAGAAUGGAUAUGCAACCAACAGGAAUACCUUUGGCUAAAAAUACUUUUGGCUUCUUCUUCUUCUUGUAAUAUUAUUUUUGAUAAGGAAUUUAGAGACCUUUUUUUUGGUACAUGUGUACUUGAUUUAUGUUGAAGUUGGAAAAUAUGCUUGUUGUAAAUAUUUUGAUACAUUAACAAAUUUACGUAUUAAUUAACUAUGUAGACAUUAGUUCUUUAUCA